Molecule: ribosomal RNA, 591 nt
Filed under: uncultured bacterium
Lineage: Bacteria
Description: bacterial SSU rRNA
Rfam family: Bacterial small subunit ribosomal RNA
Source: RNAcentral
ACUCCUACGGGAGGCAGCAGUGGGGAAUAUUGCGCAAUGGCCGCAAGGCUGACGCAGCGACGCCGCGUGUGGGAUGACGGCCUUCGGGUUGUAAACCACUGUCGAGAGGGACGAAUACGGGGCCUCGAAUAGGGGACCUCGGGUGACGGUACCUCUAAAGGAAGCACCGGCUAACUCCGUGCCAGCAGCCGCGGUAAUACGGAGGGUGCGAGCGUUGUCCGGAAUUACUGGGCGUAAAGGGCGCGUAGGCGGUUCGCUAAGUUGCUGGUGAAAUCCCGGGGCUCAACUCCGGGGCUGCCGGUAAGACUGGCGGGCUCGAGCACGGUAGAGGCAGAUGGAAUUCCCGGUGUAGCGGUGGAAUGCGUAGAUAUCGGGAAGAAUACCGGUGGCGAAGGCGUUCUGCUGGGCCGUUGCUGACGCUGAGGCGCGACAGCGUGGGGAGCAAACAGGAUUAGAUACCCUGGUAGUCCACGCCGUAAACGAUGGACACUAGGCGUCGGGGGGAGCGACCCUCCCGGUGCCGUCGCUAACGCAGUAAGUGUCCCGCCUGGGGAGUACGGCCGCAAGGCUGAAACUCAAAGGAAUUGACGG